This 25-nucleotide non-coding RNA is filed under the name Mus musculus (house mouse). Lineage: Eukaryota; Metazoa; Chordata; Mammalia; Rodentia; Muridae. The record is from RNAcentral.
UAAAGUCGUCUUCAACACACGCUAG